Hippocampus zosterae (dwarf seahorse) is the source of this 6847-nucleotide RNA transcript. It is a transcript of the gene named receptor-type tyrosine-protein phosphatase F-like, with no coding region annotated. The record is from RefSeq and is a predicted model, not a curated record. NCBI's taxonomy places the organism in Eukaryota, Metazoa, Chordata, Actinopteri, Syngnathiformes, Syngnathidae. The transcript is spliced from 35 exons.
CCCGGUCGACCGACCGAAGCGAGUCGUCUCUCCUCCUCCGAGGAAGCGUGACCGAGUUGGGGGGGCUAAGAGACGCAUUGGAUUCGCUCCCUCGCCUCACCGGGGAGACGUCAUUGGCGAAAGCGAAUGCGUGUGUUUUGUAUCUCCAUAAGGACACUUUUGUGUUGUUGUUUUUUUUUAAGGGGGGAUUUUUGUGCCCAUGCGCACAAGGGCAGCGAAUAGAUCCGCUCACUUGUCUCCUUUACCAGGUCGGGAUCGGACCUUGUGUUUGUUCUUUUCCACUUCUUCCAUGUUCUCUUUUUAUUGCAACCCAUUUGGACUUCUUUUACUCCUUCCAAUUUGAUUCCCGGGACGUGGAUUUUCCCCGGCUGGCUACGAAGUGGAAGACGGACGGAACGGUGGCGGUGGUGUUUGGGGAGGGGGGGAGGAAGACAUGCCAACGGCGGCGGCGACAACGAAGAGACUCGGCUUUAACCUUUGAUCGUGUCAGAGCGGGACGAGUCUAAGCAGGGGGGGGACGACGAGCGAGGGCAGCAGCAGCAGCAGUGCCGACCUUGAGACAUGGCACCCCCGCCGCACAGAGGGGCGUGUCUCGUCCUGCCCCUGCUCCUCGGCUGCGCUGCCAUCUCCUCCGUGGCGGACAAGCUGCCGAGCUUCAUCAAAUCCCCCGAGGACCAGACGGGCAUCUCGGGCGGCGUGGCGUCCUUUGUGUGCCAGGCGGCCGGCGAGCCCAAACCCCGAAUCACCUGGAUGAAGAAGGGCAAGAAAGUCAGCUCGCAGCGCUUUGAGGUAAUCGAGUUUGAUGACGGUUCGGGAUCCGUGCUGCGCAUCCAGCCGCUGCGCACGCACCGCGACGAGGCCAUUUACGAGUGCACGGCGGCCAACAGCGCCGGCGAGAUCAACACCAGCGCCAAGCUGACCGUCUUUGAAGAGAACCAGAUCCCCCACGGCUUCCCUACCAUCGACAUGGGCCCCCAGCUGAAGGUGGUGGAGCGGACCAGGACCGCCACCAUGUUAUGCGCUGCCAGCGGAAACCCCGACCCGGAGAUCACCUGGUUCAAGGAUAUGCUGCCUGUGGAUAUCGGCAGUAGCAACGGUCGCAUCAGACAGCUACACUCAGGUGGUACGCCAAUUAGAGGAGCUCUACAAAUCGAGAACAGCGAGGAGUCCGACCAGGGCAAAUAUGAGUGCAUCGCCACCAACGGCGCCGGCACCCGUUACUCGGCUCCCGCCAACCUCUACGUGCGAGUCCGCAGAGUUCCGCCGAGGUUCUCCAUCCCGCCCACCAACCAGGAGGUGAUGCCGGGCGGCAGCGUCAACUUGACGUGCGUGGCGGUGGGCUCGCCCAUGCCCUACGUCAAGUGGAUGAUGGACUUGAAGGAGCUGACCCGCGAAGAGGAGAUGCCCAUGGGCCGAAACGUGCUGGAGGUCACCAAUAUCCGCGAGUCGGGCAACUACACCUGCGUGGCCAUGUCCUCGCUGGGCAUCAUCGAAGCCACGGCGCAGGUCACCGUCAAAGCCCUGCCAAAGCCCCCCGUUUCCCUGGCGGUGACCGAGAGAACUGCCACCAGCGUGACCUUGACGUGGGACUCGGGCAACCCGGAACCCGUCUCCUACUACAUGAUCCAGUACCGGGCCAAGGCGUCGGAUAACGCCUUUCAGGAGGUGGAGGGCGUGGCCACCACCCGCUACAGCAUCGGCGGCCUGAGCCCCUACUCGGAGUACGAAUUCCGGGUGAUGGCGGUCAACAACAUCGGUCGCGGAGCGCCCAGCGAGCCGGUGGCCACGCGCACGGGCGAGCAGGCCCCGUCGUCGCCCCCGCUGCGCGUCCAGGCGCGCAUGCUGAGCGCCACCACCAUGCUGGUCCAGUGGGACCCGCCCGAGGAGCCCAACGGCCACAUCCGGGGCUUCCGCAUCUACUACAGCUCGGACCACGCCGCGCCGCUCAGCGCCUGGCACAAGCACAACACGGACGACAGCAGCCUGACCACCAUCUCGGGGCUGACGCCGGACAUCACCUACAGCCUCAGGGUGCUGGGCUUCACCUCGGUGGGGGACGGCCCGCCCUCCGAGGCGCUUCAGGUCAAAACCCAGCAAGGAGUCCCGUCCCAGCCGUCGGGCUUCGUGGCCGAAACGGAGCUGGACACCCGCGUCUUGCUCUCCUGGCUGUGGCCCCUCCAGGACCCCAUCAUCAAGUACGAGCUGCAGUACUGGGAGGCCGGCACGGACAACAAGAUCCACGUGACCUUUGACCCGGCCGGCUCUUACGCCGUGGACGGCCUGAAGCCCGACACGCUGUACCGCUUCUCCCUGGCCGCCCGCUCCGAAAUGGGCUUGGGCGUCUACACCCAGGCCAUCGAAGCUCGCACGGCCCAGUCCACACCCUCAGCUCCCCCCCAGGACGUGCACCUGUUCAGCCUUAGCUCCACCAGCCUGAAGGUGAGUUGGGCGGCGCCGCCGGCCGGCCGGCGCCACGGCGUCAUCGUCGGCUACACGGUCAGCUACCAGGCGUUGAGCGGCGAGGACACCGAGCGCCACCAAGUGAGCGGCAUCGGCGCCGCCGCCUCGGUCUACGUCAUCCAGGACCUGGAGCGCUGGACCGAGUAUCAGGUGUGGGUGCGCGCUCACACCAAGGCGGGGCCGGGCCCCGAGAGCGCUCCGGUCAGGAUGAAAACACAGCCGGAUGUGCCGGGAGCGCCGCCGCGGAAGCUGGAGGCCGAGGCGGUCAACUCCACCACCAUCCGCGUGACCUGGAAGCCGCCGCUGCAGAGCAAGCAGCACGGCCAGAUCCGAGGCUACCAGGUGGCCUACACGCCGGUGGAGAACGGCGAGCCGCGCGGCCAGCCCAACAUCCUCGACGUGGUCUUGGCGGAGGAGCAGUUCAAUAUUACGGAGUUCACCGAGCAUGAGGCCUUCAUUACGGGACUGCAGUCUGAGACCACCUACUCGGUGGCCGUGGCGGCGUACACCACCAGGGGAGACGGACCUCGUUGCAAACCCAAAUUGGUCACCACCACCGGAGCAGUGCCCGGCAAGCCCACCAUGAUGAUCAGCGCCACCAUGGGCAACACGGCGCUCAUCCAGUGGCAGCCCCCCAAAGAGAUGGUGGGCGAGCUGAUGGGCUACGUGCUGCAGUACAAGCGCGCCGACGACGAGGCGUACACCUCGCGGGAACUGCGCGCCACCGACGACCACUACACGGUGACGGGACUGCACAAGGGCGCCACCUACGUCUUCCGCCUCAGCGCCCGCAACCGCGCCGGCGCCGGCGAGGCCUACGUCAAGGAGAUCGGCACUCCCGAGGACGCGCCUUCGGGUUUCCCCUUGAACCUGCGGGUGACGGGCCUGACCCAGUCCAGCACGCAGCUGGCGUGGGACCCGCCGCCGCUGGCCGAGCGAAACGGCAAGAUCGCCUACUACCUGGUGGUCUACCGCGACAUCAACAGCCAGCAAAACGCCACCAACCGCACGGGCGACACGCGCAUGACCAUCGGGGGCCUCAACCCCGACACCACCUACGACAUCCGCGUGCAGGCGUACACCAGCAAGGGAGGGGGGCCCGUGAGCCCCAGCAUCCAGAGCAGGACCAUGUCCAACGAUUUCCCCACCUUGAACUUUGGGGUCAAAGCCGUCACAAAGACGUCGGUGCUCCUCACCUGGGAUUUGCCGCCCAACUACAAGUCCCAAGCGCCUUUUAAGAUCCUGUACAGCCAGCAGAGCGUGGAGGUGCAGGGCAACCUCAAGCGCAAGCUGAUCACGCAGCUGCAGCCCGACACCGACUACUCCUUCGUGCUGACCAGCCGGGGCAACAUCGCCGGGGGUCUGCAGCAGCAAGUGUCCAUCCGUACCGCCCCCGACCUCAUCAAGACCAAGCCUUUGUACGCCGCCCGGCAGGCUCACGGCGGCGUGAUGACCGUUAGCCUGCCCAAGGUGCAGACCACCACGCGGGUCAGGUGGUACUACAUUGUGGUGGUGCCCGUGUCCCAAUCGAGCCGACGUUGGAAGAAUCCGGAUGAGAUGGACCUGGAUGAGCUUCUGAAAUCCAGCGAAGGCCCCGCGCUGAGGCGGCGGCGUCGUCGGCGGCGUCAUCUGGACUCGUCCAAGCCUUACAUCGCCGCCAAGCUGGCCUCGCUGCCGCCCGCCUUCACGCUGGGAGACGAGAAGCGCUACAACAACUACUACAACAAGCCGCUGAGCGGCGGGCAGGAGUACGUCUGCUUCGUUUUGGCCGUCCUGCGAUCCGAGGGCAGCGACAGCGCCUCCAAUUAUAUGACGUUUUCCGCCAGUCCCUAUUCGGACCUCAUCCAGGUCAGCUCGCAGUCGCUGGCUCGGGGGGCGGAGCAGACGGAAAUGCUGUGGGUGAUGGGGCCCGUGUUUGCCGUGGUGCUCAUCAUCAGUGUCGUCAUCGCCAUCCUGCUCUACAAAAAGAAGCGGGCGUCGCCCCUGCCCAAGGACGAGCAGUCGGGUGGAGUGAAAGACUCCCUGCUGGGCAACUCCUCUGACCCCGUGGAGAUGAGACGACUCAACUACCAGACGCCAGGUCCCAGCACUCACCGCAGCCCCAACACACCAAGGAUGCGAGAACACCCGCCCAUUCCUGUUGCGGGCCUCGCCGACCACAUCGAGAACCUCAAGGCCAAUGACGGCCUGCGUUUCUCUCAGGAGUAUGAGUCCAUCGACCCGGGCCAGCAGUUCACCUGGGAGAACUCCAACAUGGAAGUGAACAAGCCAAAGAACCGCUACGCCAACGUCAUCGCCUACGACCACUCCAGGGUGGUGCUCACUUCCGUCGACGCGGUCCCGGGCAGCGACUACAUCAACGCCAACUACAUUGACGGCUACCGCAAGCAAAACGCCUACAUCGCCACGCAGGGACCGCUGCCCGAGACGCUGAGCGACUUCUGGAGGAUGGUGUGGGAGCAGCGAUCCAGCACCAUCGUCAUGAUGACGCGACUGGAGGAGAAGUCUCGGGUGAAGUGUGACCAGUACUGGCCGGCGCGAGGAACCGAGACCUACGGCAUGAUCCAGGUCACCAUGCUGGACACGGUGGAGCUGGCCACUUACAGCGUGCGCACUUUUGCGCUCUACAAGAACGGCUCCAGCGAGAAGAGAGAGCUGCGGCAGUUUCAGUUCAUGGCCUGGCCCGACCACGGCGUGCCCGAGUAUCCCACCCCCAUCCUGGCCUUCCUGAGACGAGUCAAAGCCUGCAACCCUCCGGAUGCCGGCCCCGUGGUGGCGCACUGCAGCGCGGGCGUGGGCCGGACGGGCUGCUUCAUCGUGAUCGAUGCCAUGCUGGAGCGCAUGAAGCACGAGAAGUCGGUGGACAUCUACGGCCACGUGACGUGCAUGCGGGCCCAACGCAACUACAUGGUGCAGACGGAGGACCAGUACAUCUUCAUCCACGAGGCGCUGCUGGAGGCGGCCACCUGCGGAAACACCGAGGUGCCGGCGCGCAAUCUCUACGCGCACAUUCAGAAGCUGACGCAGCCGCCGCCCGGCGACACGGUCACCGCCAUGGAGCUGGAGUUCAAGCGGCUGGCCAACUCCAAGGCCCACACGUCGCGCUUCAUCAGUGCCAACCUGCCCUGCAACAAGUUCAAGAACCGUCUGGUGAACAUCAUGCCUUUCGAGUCCACGCGCGUCUGCCUGCAGCCCAUCCGCGGCGUGGAGGGCUCCGACUACAUCAACGCCAGCUGCAUCGACGGAUACAGACAGCAGAAGGCCUACCUGGCCACGCAAGGCCCGCUGUCGGAGACCACCGAGGACUUCUGGAGAAUGUUGUGGGAGCACAACUCCACCAUCGUCGUCAUGCUCACCAAGCUACGGGAGAUGGGACGGGAAAAGUGCCACCAGUACUGGCCGGCCGAGCGCUCGGCCCGCUACCAGUACUUUGUGGUGGACCCCAUGGCCGAGUACAACAUGCCGCAGUACAUCCUGAGAGAGUUCAAGGUGACGGACGCCCGCGACGGACAGUCCCGAACCAUCCGCCAGUUCCAGUUCACCGACUGGCCCGAGCAGGGCGUGCCCAAAACGGGCGAGGGCUUCAUCGACUUCAUCGGGCAAGUGCACAAGACCAAGGAACAGUUCGGACAGGACGGACCCAUCACCGUGCACUGCAGUGCCGGGGUGGGUCGCACGGGAGUCUUCAUCACGCUCAGCAUUGUGCUGGAGAGGAUGAGGUACGAGGGCGUGGUGGACCUUUUCCAGACCGUCAAGACCCUGCGCACUCAGCGGCCCGCCAUGGUGCAGACCGAGGACCAGUACCAGCUGUGCUACCGGGCCGCUCUGGAAUACCUGGGGAGCUUCGACCACUAUGCAACGUAACCCCAGGCCAGGUCGCCGAGGUCCGAGUCCCUCAGGAGUGUGCCAUGUGUCCCAUCUCAUCACCCAUACCCCGGGAAAUAAUGUCAUUGAAAAAAAAAAACACACACAAACACACACACGCCACCCAACCUUUUGCUUCGGGGAGAGGUGCGAAGAACGGAACCAACCAUGUGACUUUAUUUUUUUUAUUUUUUUGUGCAUCUAAGUCUUGUACAGUUGACAGCGUCACCUGUCGCUCUUCUAGCGGUACCUCCACUAAUUUUUGCAAUGAUUUACAUUUUUUUGUUUAGUCUACUUUUUAAAAUCUUUUUUUAAUAACAUUGUGUCUUAACACAGCUCCAGUGCUUUAUUUUAAUAAUUACUACUUUUAAUUUUUUUUUUUUGCAUUGUUUUUAAAGGUGGUUAAGGGGGACAUUUUAGCAUAGCCAUGCUAGAGGCUAAUGUCCUCCGGGCUGGCCGCUUGUUUGCGUUGAUGUCACACGCUCUGGAUUUAGUCAGGAUGAUGACCACGACAAGAUGGGGG